RNAcentral lists this ribosomal RNA (252 nucleotides) under uncultured bacterium. RNAcentral's name for it is "partial 16S ribosomal RNA". It matches the Rfam family "Bacterial small subunit ribosomal RNA", at positions 524 to 776 of the family's 1533-position model. The record is from RNAcentral.
UACGGAGGAUGCGAGCGUUAUCCGGAUUUAUUGGGUUUAAAGGGUGCGUAGGCGGACGCUUAAGUCAGCGGUAAAAUUGCGGGGCUCAACCUCGUCGAGCCGUUGGAACUGGGUGCCUUGAGUGGGCGAGAAGUACGCGGAAUGCGUGGUGUAGCGGUGAAAUGCAUAGAUAUCACGCAGAACUCCGAUUGCGAAGGCAGCGUACCGGCGCCCAACUGACGCUGAAGCACGAAGGCGUGGGUAUCGAACAGG